Molecule: ribosomal RNA, 207 nt
Filed under: uncultured bacterium
Lineage: Bacteria
Description: partial 16S ribosomal RNA
Rfam family: Bacterial small subunit ribosomal RNA
Source: RNAcentral
CGUGUAGGCGGUUUGGUAAGUCAGAUGUGAAAGCCCUGGGCUUAACCCAGGAAGUGCAUUUGAUACUGCCAUUCUUGAGUAUGGGAGAGGAGAGUGGAAUUCCCAGUGUAGAGGUGAAAUUCGUAGAUAUUGGGAGGAACACCCGUGGCGAAGGCGACUCUCUGGACCAAUACUGACGCUGAGACGCGAAAGCGUGGGGAGCAAACA